RNAcentral lists this long non-coding RNA (1980 nucleotides) under Homo sapiens (human). Its description in RNAcentral is "non-protein coding lnc-CDH8-11:1". The record is from RNAcentral. Lineage: Eukaryota; Metazoa; Chordata; Mammalia; Primates; Hominidae.
AGACCCUUCCAGCUCAUCUACUCUCAUUUAUCCAUUGGUUCCACCAGCCCUAAAACCAUUAUGCUCUUCGACUCAAAGAAGCUCAAAAGGUGGCAUGAAUUUGAAAACAUUGUAGAGGAGAGGAGGCAUGUCAGUGACUUGAAAUUUGCACCUCUUGUUUAUAAGGGGAUUAUUCCAUGUAAGCCAAGUAAUCUUAAAUAUAGUGUUCUUAAUUAUGAAGAGAGUUAUUAUGUCAUUGCUAUAGGAAGUUAGUGAGAUCUUGGAUCAAAUGAGUCACAGACUGCGUCUGGGAGCCAUUCAGUUUUUUGUCUUUCCCUUAAGCAAAAUAUUUAAACAAAUUUUCUCAAAGGUGUGUGUAAAUGUAGGAGGUAUUCAGAAACUGUAGCAAGCCAACCAGGAGCAUCUUGUUCUUCUGCUCAGUCAUCAAAGUUACGUUGACUUUCUGGUGUUGUCUUUUCUCCCAUACAAGCAUGAUUUGUCUGUGCCAGUUAUAGCAGCAGGAAUGGACUUCCUGAAAAUGAAACCAGUUGGUGAGCUGUGUGAAUGUCAGGUGCCUUUUUCAUGUGGUGCUGUUAUGGUGGCAAUAAACUCCACUGGGCUCUAUUCUCUGAAUAUGUAAAAACUAUUUUAGGAAAUGGUUAUGUGUCUGCUAAAUCUUUCCUAGAAGAGAAAAGAAGCUGCUCUGCCAAGAUACUGACUCCUAGAUGUAGUGUUCUGAAUGUUGUUAUGAAGUCAUUUUUUAAAAAAGUUUUUGAGACCUGCCUUAUCCCAAUUAGCAAUAGUUAUGCUAAGUUAUUAGAAGAAUAUAUCUAUCUAUCUAUAUAUAUAUAGAAAUACAUAUAUAUAUAUAUGUAUAUAUGUUUCUAGAGGUUGCUAAGCCAUAACAAUCUACAAUUGGAUUGUUGAAAGCCAGAAAGAUUCUCUCUGAAAUUUUUGAAACUUUCAUGCACACUUUGGAGAUGCUAUGUCACUUUGAUCUCUGACAGCUGGGAAGAUGAAUCAGAGCCCAUAGAACCUGGUUCUAAGAUACAUUCUUCAGAAGCAAUCUGAGGGCGUGGAUGCCUUUGUUACUGAAGCUGCCUACAAAAUGCAGCUUCUGCAAAUUGAAAGCCUGGUUCUGAGACCCUGGGCCUAAUAGUUUCUCUUCCGCUUCAGAACUAGCCAUCCAUGGACACUCAUGCUCUGGCGGGAAAGAUUUUACAGCUGAAAGGCUCACCCCAGGUGUUCAGAAGGUUUCCCAUUUGGCCCAAUAAUAAAGCUACCAAAGACAUGUCCAGUCCAACAUACUUCUGCAUUCCGACCUUACCAGCUUUGUCAAAGGCCAGGUGAUUCAGAAAGUGGACUCCGGAGACUCAAAAGUGGCUGAUGGAGUUAUUUUCCAGUAGAUCACUAUCCUCAUUGCUUGGCUUAUAGGAACCUGUUGCUCAACACUUUUGUCCAUCCUUCUUUUGUAGCUAUAACAGUGCAGAUGACAACUGGCUUCAGGAAAGAGGAUGUCUACAAUUGCUUUUUCUUCCUAUGUGAUUUUUUUUUUUCAGAGGAGUUCAUCUUCCUUCCAGGAAACACACUAAAGGACUUUGAAGAAGGCUGUUACCUGCUUUGUAAAUGUGAGGAGAACAUUCUAGUUACAGAUAAAGGAAAUAUCAUUUAGAAUUUUUAAUAGGACUCUUUACACUUUCGUGGAAUGUUAUCAGAUAAUUUGCAAAUACUUCUUGAGCAAAGAAGAGAACUACUUUACUUAGAAAUAGUACUUGGCUGCAGUUAGAAAAUACAUGUCAGCUUCUCAAUCAAGGUGCCUCUCAGUGUUACGAUGUAUUAUCUUCUGAUGUGCAGAAAAAUGCCUUAGCAGCUUUGUUGGUGGAGAAGAAAAGGAUUAAUAAUGACUAUAUAUUUCAUGUGAAUGAACUUGCCACAACCAAAUUAGGAUAAAUGUUUGGUUGUAAUACUCCAAUGGGAAAACCAUUCACUGCAAAACUUUAA